Molecule: transfer RNA, 73 nt
Filed under: Zootermopsis nevadensis
Lineage: Eukaryota; Metazoa; Arthropoda; Insecta; Blattodea; Termopsidae
Rfam family: tRNA
About the family: Transfer RNA (tRNA) molecules are approximately 80 nucleotides in length. Their secondary structure includes four short double-helical elements and three loops (D, anti-codon, and T loops).
Source: Rfam by way of RNAcentral
GCCACGGUGGUCUAGCGGUCAGAACGCUGGCCUUGUAAUCCUGGAGUCUCGGGUUCGAUUCCCGGCGGUGCCC